GAUGAACGCUAGCGGCAGGCCUAAUACAUGCAAGUCGAACGGGAUCCAGAUCACAGCUUGCUUUGGGUUGGUGAGAGUGGCGCACGGGUGCGUAACGCGUGAGCAAACUACCCUUGUCAGGGGGAUAGCCCGGCGAAAGUCGGAUUAAUACCGCAUGACAUCAUUGAGAGGCAUCUUUCGAUGAUCAAAUAUUUAUCGGACAAGGAUGGGCUCGAGUGACAUUAGCUAGUUGGUAAGGUAACGGCUUACCAAGGCUCCGAUGUCUAGGCGCUGUGGGAGGAGAAUCGCCGACAUUGGAGCUUGGUCACGGACAAGAGUACUGAGACACGCAGCAGUAUGGAACAUGAGGCAACGGUCGGAAGUAUGAACCAGCCGUCCAGCGUGCAGGAAGACAGUGCUAUGGGUGGUAAGCUGCUUUUAUACUGGAACAACCGUCGGUACGGGUAUCGGUAUGAGUGUACCGGAAGAAUAAGGACCGGCUAACUCCGUG
This 490-nucleotide ribosomal RNA is filed under the name uncultured bacterium. Its description in RNAcentral is "partial 16S ribosomal RNA". It matches the Rfam family "Bacterial small subunit ribosomal RNA", at positions 28 to 507 of the family's 1533-position model. The record is from RNAcentral.